Molecule: ribosomal RNA, 229 nt
Filed under: uncultured bacterium
Lineage: Bacteria
Description: partial 16S ribosomal RNA
Rfam family: Bacterial small subunit ribosomal RNA
Source: RNAcentral
UUCGUAGGCGGGCUAUUUAGUCAGAGGUGAAAGCCAUCGGCUCAACCGAUGAAUUGCCUCUGAUACUGGUAGUCUUGAGUCCGUUAGGGGGUGGUGGAAUUCCUGGUGUAGCGGUGAAAUGCGUAAAUAUCAGGAGGAACACCAGUGGCGAAGGCGACCACCUGGGACGGUACUGACGCUGAGGAACGAAAGCAUGGGUAUCAAACAGGAUUAGAUACCCUGGUAGUCC